GACGAACGCUGGCGGCGUGCUUAACACAUGCAAGUCGAACGGAAAGGCCCUGCUUUUGUGGGGUGCUCGAGUGGCGAACGGGUGAGUAACACGUGAGUAACCUGCCCUUGACUUUGGGAUAACUUCAGGAAACUGGGGCUAAUACCGGAUAGGAGCUCCUGCUGCAUGGUGGGGGUUGGAAAGUUUCCGCGGUUGGGGAUGGACUCGCGGCUUAUCAGCUUGUUGGUGGGGUAGUGGCUUACCAAGGCUUUGACGGGUAGCCGGCCUGAGAGGGUGACCGGCCACAUUGGGACUGAGAUACGGCCCAGACUCCUACGGGAGGCAGCAGUGGGGAAUAUUGCACAAUGGGCGGAAGCCUGAUGCAGCAACGCCGCGUGCGGGAUGACGGCCUUCGGGUUGUAAACCGCUUUCGCCUGUGACGAAGCGUGAGUGACGGUAAUGGGUGAAGAAGCACCGGCUAACUACGUGCCAGCAGCCGCGGUGAUACGUAGGGUGCGAGCGUUGUCCGGAUUUAUUGGGCGUAAAGGGCUCGUAGGUGGUUGAUCGCGUCGGAAGUGUAAUCUUGGGGCUUAACCCUGAGCGUGCUUUCGAUACGGGUUGACUUGAGGAAGGUAGGGGAGAAUGGAAUUCCUGGUGGAGCGGUGGAAUGCGCAGAUAUCAGGAGGAACACCAGUGGCGAAGGCGGUUCUCUGGGCCUUUCCUGACGCUGAGGAGCGAAAGCGUGGGGAGCGAACAGGCUUAGAUACCCUGGUAGUCCACGCUGUAAACGGUGGGUACUAGGUGUGGGGUCCAUUCCACGGGUUCCGUGCCGUAGCUAACGCUUUAAGUACCCCGCCUGGGGAGUACGGCCGCAAGGCUAAAACUCAAAGGAAUUGACGGGGCCCCGCACAAGCGGCGGAGCAUGCGGAUUAAUUCGAUGCAACGCGUAGAACCUUACCUGGGUUUGACAUGGAUCGGGAGUGCUCAGAGAUGGGUGUGCCUCUUUUGGGGUCGGUUCACAGGUGGUGCAUGGCUGUCGUCAGCCCGUGUCGUGAGAUGUUGGGUUAAGUCCCGCAACGAGCGCAACCCUUGUUCACUGUUGCCAGCACGUUAUGGUGGGGACUCAGUGGAGACCGCCGGGGUCAACUCGGAGGAAGGUGGGGAUGACGUCAAGUCAUCAUGCCCCUUAUGUCCAGGGCUUCACGCAUGCUACAAUGGCUGGUACAGAGAGUGGCGAGCCUGUGAGGGUGAGCGAAUCUCGGAAAGCCGGUCUCAGUUCGGAUUGGGGUCUGCAACUCGACCUCAUGAAGUCGGAGUCGCUACGUAAUCGCAGAUCAGCAACGCUGCGGUGAAUACGUUCCCGGGGCU
RNAcentral lists this ribosomal RNA (1347 nucleotides) under uncultured bacterium. RNAcentral describes it as "partial 16S ribosomal RNA". It matches the Rfam family "Bacterial small subunit ribosomal RNA", at positions 28 to 1381 of the family's 1533-position model. The record is from RNAcentral.